This is a long non-coding RNA of Zingiber officinale, 1003 nucleotides long. RefSeq lists it as uncharacterized. The transcript has 3 exons. The record is from RefSeq and is a predicted model, not a curated record. NCBI's taxonomy places the organism in Eukaryota, Viridiplantae, Streptophyta, Magnoliopsida, Zingiberales, Zingiberaceae.
CCUUUCCCCCACGUGACCGAGCCGUCCCCGAUGCCUCCUCACGCCGAACUCGCGUCGAUCCUUGCCCUAACCGCACGCGACGGUUGCUCGCCUCCCCCACGUUCAUAACCCCCGGCUAAAGGAAAGCCGAAGCCCCAGCGUCACAUUCCCAUUCCUCUUCAUCUUCCUCGACUCCAAUCGGCGCUGACUCCUGCUGCCCUCCCGAUCUCUUCCUCUUUUCCCAACCCGACGCACGCAGACGCCUCGCGCCACCCUUGCUCCGCCACUUCACCGAGCGACGGCGCCGAUCGCCACCACAACCGACGUCGACCCCCGAUCCGCUCGUUUCCCCUCGCUUCCUCGGCCACCUUCGCACGGACGCACCCUAGCAGAGCACCCCCUCACUGAUCUCUCCAUCAUCUUGAUCGCCGGCACCGCGUGUCCAUCGCGUUGUGCCCUAGUUCCUGAUUCAUGGUCGGCGUCGCAUGGAGUAGCGCAUACCAUUGCUGGAGAUUUACUGUUCCCGUGCCCUAGAUUUCCUCUUGGUGCUGGAUCUAAACAAAACAGCAGUGAUUUUAUCAGGAAGGUGCCACGGACCUGAUAGUCUGGUGCCACUGUCAUUUUCAUGAGGCCAGAUUGGCACACCUAUAUUGGUUAGGUUUCAGAUGGUUUGAACAUGGAGAAGGUGUCAAGUGUUGUGCGUUGUGGGGAAGAUUUCAACAAGGAGGUCUUGUUGUGGUAUACAUUGUUUUCCAGUAGCAAUCAGCUCACCUUGUUCUUUGUUCAACGACGACUGAGCUUGAGGUUGAGGCUGUCCGGAGAGUUCCAAUCGCUAGUCCCCCUACAGAUCGCGAGGAUAUUUAUUUGGUCAUUUGGUUUUUCUUAUGAUGCUAUAUAGACUAUGUUUUACACUUGUAUUAGUUUUGUUCUAUGGAUUACUAUAUGGUCUUUUAUUUGUCGAUGGGUUUUCUUUUAUAUUAAUUUGGAUAUGUUCUAAUACAUGGCUGCCUGGACGGCAGAAGAG